CCUACGGGCGGCAGCAGUGAGGAAUAUUGGUCAAUGGACGAGAGUCUGAACCAGCCAAGUAGCGUGAAGGAUGACUGCCCUAUGGGUUGUAAACUUCUUUUAUAAAGGAAUAAAACGAGGCACGUGUGCCUUUUUGCAUGUACUUUAUGAAUAAGGAUCGGCUAACUCCGUGCCAGCAGCCGCGGUAAUACGGAGGAUCCGAGCGUUAUCCGGAUUUAUUGGGUUUAAAGGGAGCGUAGAUGGGUUGUUAAGUCAGUUGUGAAAGUUUGCGGCUCAACCGUAAAAUUGCAAUUGAUACUGGCAGUCGUGAGUACAGUUGAGGUAGGCGGAAUUCGUUGUGUAGCGGUGAAAUGCUUAGAUAUCACGAAGAACCCCGAUUGCGAAGGCAGCUUACUAAACUGUGACUGACAUUGAUGCUCGAAAGUGUGGGUAUCAAACAGGAUUAGAUACCCGUGUAGUC
RNAcentral lists this ribosomal RNA (460 nucleotides) under uncultured bacterium. Its description in RNAcentral is "partial 16S ribosomal RNA". It matches the Rfam family "Bacterial small subunit ribosomal RNA", at positions 338 to 795 of the family's 1533-position model. The record is from RNAcentral.